Molecule: long non-coding RNA, 1456 nt
Organism: Astyanax mexicanus (Mexican tetra)
Lineage: Eukaryota; Metazoa; Chordata; Actinopteri; Characiformes; Acestrorhamphidae
Exons: 3
Source: RefSeq, a predicted model, not a curated record
CACUGGACUCUUACACCGCCACCACUGCACAUCUACAGUUUAAUAUAUAAUGGCUUCUAUAUUUUGUGAUGCUAAGAUGCUGCUAUGGUAUCCCAGGUAGUGACAAAGAUGCUGCUUAAUGGCUACAGGGUGGUUUGAUGGUUGCUAGGUGGUUGCAAUGAUAUCUAAGUUGGUGUUGCCAAGUGGUUGCACAAUGGUUCUCAUGGUAUUCAAAGGUGGUUGCUUUUGUCUUGCUAUGUGGUUGUUGUGGUAUCCAAGGUGGCUUCUAAGGUGUUUCUAAGAGGGUGCUAGGGGAUUGCUGUAGUAUAUCAGGUAAUUUCUAUGAUGUUGUUUAGAGGUUGCCAGGUUGUUAUUAUGCUAGGUGUCCUAGGUGGUUGCUACAAUGCUGCAAGAUGGUUCUGAUGGUAAUGAUAGGUGGUUGCUUUUGUGUUUCUAAGUGGUUGUUGUGGUAUCCCAGGUGGCUGCUUAUUUGUUGCUAAGUGGAGGGUAGACAGUUAAUGUGGUGUCUUGGUGGUUGCUCCGUUGUUGCAAGAUGGUUCUCAUAAUAUUGAUAGGUAAUUGCUUUUGUGUUGCUAAGUGGUUGUUGUGGUAUCCCAGGUGGCUGCUUAUUUUUUGCUAAGUGGAGGGUAGGCAGUUAAUGUGGUGUCUUGGUGGUUGCUAUGAUGUUGCAAGAUGAAUCUCAUAGCAUUGAUAGGUAAUUGCUUUUGUGUUGCUAAAAAGUUGUUGUGGUAUCCGACAUAGCUUUUGCUAAGUGAAUGCUAGGCAGUUACUGUAUGUGUGCUAUGAUGUUGGAGGUGGUUGCUCAGGUGGCUGCUGUGGUACCCUAUGUGUAAUGUUCAUUCAUUCUUAUGGGGAAAAUGUUAAAAAGUAGAAAGUAAUGGUUGGUACAGUGUUGCAAGAUGGUUCUGAUGGUAAUAAGAGGGGGUUGCUUUUGUGUUGCUAAGUGGUUGUUGUGGUAUCCCAGGUGGCUGCUUAUUUGUUUCUAAGUGGAGGGUAGGCAGUUAAUGUUGUGUCUUGGUGGUUGCUACGAUGUUGCAAGAUGGAAAAAAAGGUGUUGUGGUAUCUGACAUAGCUUUUGCUAAGUGGAUGCUAGGCAGUUACUGUAUGCAUGCUAUGAUGUUGGAGGUGGUUGCUCAGGUGGCUGCUUAUUUGUUUCUAAGUGGAGGGUAGGCAGUUAAUGUUGUGUCUUGGUGGUUGCUACGAUGUUGCAAGAUGGAAAAAAAGGUGUUGUGGUAUCCGACAUAGCUUUUGCUAAGUGAAUGCUAGGCAGUUACUGUAUGUGUGCUAUGAUGUUGGAGGUGGUUGCUCAGGUGGCUGCUGUGGUACCCUAUGUGUAAUGUUCAUUCAUUCUUAUGGGGAAAUGUUAAAACGUAAGCAGUAUCAACACACUUACAAAACCUUACAGGUUAUUCUAUGGUAUUUGUGUGAUUAAUAACUCACUUGUAUCACUAUUGUU